GCUGUCAUGGCUCUCUCUGUCUUUCUCUGUCUCAGUGUGUUUCUACAUCUCUUUUCUCUAUCUUUGUCUCUCUCUGUCUCUGUCCAAAAUUUUCCAAUUCUGAUUAUUUUCAGCUCUCUCCAAUUCUGUUUUGAAGCAUUUCAGAAUCAUUCAACACAAGCACUGUAUAAACAGAAGAAGUGGGUGUUUGGAUCAUUAUGGAGGUGAAAAGAAAAUACGCUUUGAUUUUUACAUUUAGUGGCACAAUUGAAAUAAGCUUUUGAAAAAGCAUCUUCCUCCUUCCCUUUCCCGUCCUUUCAUUGUAAGGGCGACAAUAAAACACAAACACAAAUGUAAAGAA
Long non-coding RNA from Antechinus flavipes (yellow-footed antechinus), 340 nucleotides. RefSeq lists it as uncharacterized. The transcript is spliced from 2 exons. The record is from RefSeq and is a predicted model, not a curated record. NCBI's taxonomy places the organism in Eukaryota, Metazoa, Chordata, Mammalia, Dasyuromorphia, Dasyuridae.